RNAcentral lists this ribosomal RNA (481 nucleotides) under uncultured actinomycete. RNAcentral describes it as "bacterial SSU rRNA". It matches the Rfam family "Bacterial small subunit ribosomal RNA", at positions 241 to 733 of the family's 1533-position model. Lineage: Bacteria; Bacillati; Actinomycetota; Actinomycetes; Actinomycetales. The record is from RNAcentral.
UCAGCUAGUUGGUGUGGGUAAUGGCCCACCAAGGCGACGACGGGUAGCCGGCCUGAGAGGGUGACCGGCCACACUGGGACUGAGACACGGCCCAGACUCCUACGGGAGGCAGCAGUGGGGAAUAUUGGGCAAUGGGCGAAAGCCUGAUCCAGCAACGCCGCGUGAGGGANGACGGCCUUCGGGUUGUAAACCUCUUUCAGCAGGGACGAAGCGAAAGUGACGGUACCUGCAGAAGAAGGACCGGCCAACUACGUGCCAGCAGCCGCGGUAAUACGUAGGGUCCGAGCGUUGUCCGGAAUUAUUGGGCGUAAAGGGCUCGUAGGCGGUUUGUCGCGUCGGGAGUGAAAACNCAGGGCUCAACCCNGAGCGUGCUUCCGAUACGGGCAGACUAGAGGUAUGCAGGGGAGAACGGAAUUCCUGGUGUAGCAGUGGAAUGCGCAGAUAUCAGGAGGAACACCGGUGGCGAAGGCGGUUCUCUGGC